This 406-nucleotide ribosomal RNA is filed under the name uncultured bacterium. RNAcentral describes it as "partial 16S ribosomal RNA". It matches the Rfam family "Bacterial small subunit ribosomal RNA", at positions 29 to 526 of the family's 1533-position model. The record is from RNAcentral.
AUUGAACGCUGGCGGCAGGCCUAACACAUGCAAGUCGAACGAGUGGCGGACGGGUGAGUAAUGUCUGGGAAACUGCCCGAUGGAGGGGGAUAACUACUGGAAACGGUAGCUAAUACCGCAUACCAGCGGAUGUGCCCAGAUGGGAUUAGCUAGUGGGUGGGGUAACGGCUCACCAAGGCGACGAUCCCUAGCUGGUCUGAGAGGAUGAGCAGCCACACGGGAACUGAGACACGGUCAAGACUCCAACGGGAGGCAGCAGUGGGGAAUAUUGCACAAUGGGGGCAAGCCUGAUGCAGCCAUGCCGCGUGUGUGAAGAAGGCCUUCGGGUUGUAAAGUACUUUCAGCGAGGAGGCGUUACUCGCAGAAGAAGCACCGGCUAACUCCGUGCCAGCAGCCGCGGUAAUAC